This 947-nucleotide long non-coding RNA is filed under the name Panax ginseng (ginseng). RNAcentral's name for it is "long non-coding RNA (PGIN_LNC008846)". Lineage: Eukaryota; Viridiplantae; Streptophyta; Magnoliopsida; Apiales; Araliaceae. The record is from RNAcentral.
GCCGCACCACCUAUUACACGAGAUCUGAUUGUGGAGAUACAGAGAGAGAUCGGAAAAGGGCUUCGAAUCGGAAACGGAAAAGGAAAAGAAACUACUGUUCAAGACCUUUUCUACUAUUGUUUCGGAUCGGAACUAUUCCGGUCAGCCUUUUUCUCUCUCUUACACACAAUUUCGUAUUUUGUGUUUUAUAUGGGUUUGUUUUUGAUGGAUGUGUUUGUUUAUUGACUAUGAUAAUCGGAUUAAUGGUUUUGGUGGAGUUUUAAUGGAUUAGAAUGUGUUCAAAUUCUGUACAGCUUUGAGGGGGUUGAGCUCAUUCACGAUCUUAUUUGUUUUCUGAGUUGUGGGUUUGGGAGUAACAUCUGUAAAAAUCCAUUCAGAAGACUAGCUUGUUUAUUCAGUCGAAAAAUUGUGGCUUAUUCGGUAAGAAGAAAUUGGACCAUUCAGAUCUUAAAAAAUGAUAAUCAAACAGACUGAAUGAUUGAAUCGCUCAGAUUCAAUGUCAUUCAACUUUAUUCAGACCAAAACAAACAUCGCCUUAAUAAUUCUUAUCUAGUAGUAGUAUAUCAGUCUAAUCUCUCUCUCUCUCUCUCUCUCUCUCUCUCUCUUCAUUUUUGUACGUAAUAAUCGCUUUCUAAGUCCCAAAGUGAUUUUGACAAGUCAAAGAAUAGUGUUACUACUAAACAUACCCUGGCCUGCCUGCCUGCCUGCCUCUCUCUAAAGUAGCAUUAGCAUUAGCUUAGCUUUGCUUUGCACAUACUCUCUCUUUGAUUAUUGGAUUGGAUUGGAUUAACAGGUGAGCGUUUGUGACAAACACCUAUAUAUUAUACGCACAUCACGGCAUUAUUUUACACGCAUCAAUUGAUGCAUUGCUAAAUCAAAUUGGACAAGAGGCCGGAUAGAUAGAAUUUAUUAGGAAUUCAUUCAUAUUUCAUACACAUACAGAUACA